RNAcentral lists this ribosomal RNA (304 nucleotides) under uncultured bacterium. RNAcentral describes it as "bacterial SSU rRNA". It matches the Rfam family "Bacterial small subunit ribosomal RNA", at positions 30 to 334 of the family's 1533-position model. The record is from RNAcentral.
AUUGAACGCUGGCGGCAGGCCUAACACAUGCAAGUCGAGCGGAUGAGUGGAGCUUGCUCCAUGAUUCAGCGGCGGACGGGUGAGUAAUGCCUAGGAAUCUGCCUGGUAGUGGGGGACAACGUUUCGAAAGGAACGCUAAUACCGCAUACGUCCUACGGGAGAAAGUGGGGGAUCUUCGGACCUCACGCUAUCAGAUGAGCCUAGGUCGGAUUAGCUAGUUGGUGAGGUAAAGGCUCACCAAGGCGACGAUCCGUAACUGGUCUGAGAGGAUGAUCAGUCACACUGGAACUGAGACACGGUCCAG